Long non-coding RNA from Plodia interpunctella (Indianmeal moth), 606 nucleotides. RefSeq lists it as uncharacterized. The record is from RefSeq and is a predicted model, not a curated record. The transcript is spliced from 4 exons. NCBI's taxonomy places the organism in Eukaryota, Metazoa, Arthropoda, Insecta, Lepidoptera, Pyralidae.
CCCCGCGCACUCGGUCGACGAGCGGAGCUGAGCCAGGGCUUCUGCGGACUCCGUGACCUGUAGCUGAAUGGCAGGCAGGCCUGCCCCCGGCGCAGGCCCCGGGUCGCCGGGUGCCGCGGGCGCCGGCGUCGCGCGACGCCGCCCGACCGCACCGCUGGCCGCGCCGCUGCCGAUCCUCCCCAGGAGAUUCGACCACGUAACGCGCACCUUCUUCACUUUAUUAUUUUUUAUGGGAUUAUGACAAAUUUGUAGCGGCAUUCGAAAAUCAUGUCGUGGCAUUCCAUUAAUUGACUUUACCUACUAUAGUUUAAGAUGUGUUACACGUUCACCAAUUUUGCAAGACAAUUCCAAUACUUUUCCGUACAUUGGGAUUCAUUUUCCGAUACUUUUCCACAGAGAGUGGGAGAACAUUUUCUAUGCUUGUCCUAGCGAUUGUAAGUUAAGUUAAAUUUUCAAAUAAGUUUUUGUUUUUGUCAGCCAAGUCAGCAACUCCAUUUGGUUAAGAGUGUUUGAAUUUUUCAUUAGAUAAUAUAAGGUUUUUUACUCUUUUUAUAAAUUUUGUAUACUUUUCACUUUUUUUUUCAAUAAAAAUGUUCUUUAACUUUA